GGUUCCUGUCCAACGUUAAUCGGGGCAGGGUGAGUCGACCCCUAAGGCGAGGCCGAAAGGCGUAGUCGAUGGGAAACAGGUUAAUAUUCCUGUACUUGGUGUUACUGCGAAGGGGGGACGGAGAAGGCUAUGUUGGCCGGGCGACGGUUGUCCCGGUUUAAGCGUGUAGGCUGGUUUUCCAGGCAAAUCCGGAAAAUCAAGGCUGAGGCGUGAUGACGAGGCACUACGGUGCUGAAGCAACAAAUGCCCUGCUUCCAGGAAAAGCCUCUAAGCAUCAGGUAACAUCAAAUCGUACCCCAAACCGACACAGGUGGUCAGGUAGAGAAUACCAAGGCGCUUGAGAGAACUCGGGUGAAGGAACUAGGCAAAAUGGUGCCGUAACUUCGGGAGAAGGCACGCUGAUAUGUAGGUGAAGUCCCUCGCGGAUGGAGCUGAAAUCAGUCGAAGAUACCAGCUGGCUGCAACUGUUUAUUAAAAACACAGCACUGUGCAAACACGAAAGUGGACGUAUACGGUGUGACGCCUGCCCGGUGCCGGAAGGUUAAUUGAUGGGGUCAGCGCAAGCGAAGCUCUUGAUCGAAGCCCCGGUAAACGGCGGCCGUAACUAUAACGGUCCUAAGGUAGCGAAAUUCCUUGUCGGGUAAGUUCCGACCUGCACGAAUGGCGUAAUGAUGGCCAGGCUGUCUCCACCCGAGACUCAGUGAAAUUGAACUCGCUGUGAAGAUGCAGUGUACCCGCGGCAAGACGGAAAGACCCCGUGAACCUUUACUAUAGCUUGACACUGAACAUUGAGCCUUGAUGUGUAGGAUAGGUGGGAGGCUUAGAAGUGUGGACGCCAGUCUGCAUGGAGCCGACCUUGAAAUACCACCCUUUAAUGUUUGAUGUUCUAACGUUGACCCGUGAUCCGGGUUGCGGACAGUGUCUGGUGGGUAGUUUGACUGGGGCGGUCUCCUCCUAAAGAGUAACGGAGGAGCACGAAGGUUGGCUAAUCCUGGUCGGACAUCAGGAGGUUAGUGCAAUGGCAUAAGCCAGCUUGACUGCGAGCGUGACGGCGCGAGCAGGUGCGAAAGCAGGUCAUAGUGAUCCGGUGGUUCUGAAUGGAAGGGCCAUCGCUCAACGGAUAAAAGGUACUCCGGGGAUAACAGGCUGAUACCGCCCAAGAGUUCAUAUCGACGGCGGUGUUUGGCACCUCGAUGUCGGCUCAUCACAUCCUGGGGCUGAAGUAGGUCCCAAGGGUAUGGCUGUUCGCCAUUUAAAGUGGUACGCGAGCUGGGUUUAGAACGUCGUGAGACAGUUCGGUCCCUAUCUGCCGUGGGCGCUGGAGAACUGAGGGGGGCUGCUCCUAGUACGAGAGGACCGGAGUGGACGCAUCACUGGUGUUCGGGUUGUCAUGCCAAUGGCACUGCCCGGUAGCUAAAUGCGGAAGAGAUAAGUGCUGAAAGCAUCUAAGCACGAAACUUGCCCCGAGAUGAGUUCUCCCUGACCCUUUAAGGGUCCUGAAGGAACGUUGAAGACGACGACGUUGAUAGGCCGGGUGUGUAAGCGCAGCGAUGCGUUGAGCUAACCGGUACUAAUGAACCGUGAGG
RNAcentral lists this ribosomal RNA (1586 nucleotides) under Escherichia coli. Its description in RNAcentral is "partial 23S ribosomal RNA". It matches the Rfam family "Bacterial large subunit ribosomal RNA", at positions 1350 to 2915 of the family's 2925-position model. Lineage: Bacteria; Pseudomonadati; Pseudomonadota; Gammaproteobacteria; Enterobacterales; Enterobacteriaceae. The record is from RNAcentral.